Molecule: ribosomal RNA, 817 nt
Filed under: uncultured bacterium
Lineage: Bacteria
Description: bacterial SSU rRNA
Rfam family: Bacterial small subunit ribosomal RNA
Source: RNAcentral
ACACAUGCAAGUCGAGGGGUAUGGUUCUUCGGAACCAGAGACCGGCGCACGGGUGCGUAACGCGUAUGCAAUCUGCCUUUCACAGAGGGAUAGCCCAGAGAAAUUUGGAUUAAUACCUCAUAGUAUAGCGACAUCGCAUGAUGAUGCUAUUAAAGUCACAACGGUGAAAGAUGAGCAUGCGUCCCAUUAGCUAGUUGGUAAGGUAACGGCUUACCAAGGCAACGAUGGGUAGGGGUCCUGAGAGGGAGAUCCCCCACACUGGUACUGAGACACGGACCAGACUCCUACGGGAGGCAGCAGUGAGGAAUAUUGGUCAAUGGGCGCAAGCCUGAACCAGCCAUGCCGCGUGCAGGAUGACGGUCCUAUGGAUUGUAAACUGCUUUUGCACAGGAAGAAACACUGAUUCGUGAAUCAGCUUGACGGUACUGUGAGAAUAAGAAUCGGCUAACUCCGUGCCAGCAGCCGCGGUAAUACGGAGGAUCCAAGCGUUAUCCGGAAUCAUUGGGUUUAAAGGGUCCGUAGGCGGUCUGGUAAGUCAGUGGUGAAAGCCCAUCGCUCAACGGUGGAACGGCCAUUGAUACUGCUGGACUUGAAUUAUUAGGAAGUAACUAGAAUAUGUAGUGUAGCGGUGAAAUGCUUAGAGAUUACAUGGAAUACCAAUUGCGAAGGCAGGUUACUACUAAUGGAUUGACGCUGAUGGACGAAAGCGUGGGUAGCGAACAGGAUUAGAUACCCUGGUAGUCCACGCCGUAAACGAUGGAUACUAGCUGUUGGAAGCAAUUUCAGUGGCUAAGCGAAAGUGAUAAGUAUCCCACCU